This 479-nucleotide ribosomal RNA is filed under the name uncultured Uronema sp. Its description in RNAcentral is "partial Bacterial large subunit ribosomal RNA". It matches the Rfam family "Bacterial large subunit ribosomal RNA", at positions 1644 to 2150 of the family's 2925-position model. Lineage: Eukaryota; Ciliophora; Oligohymenophorea; Philasterida; Uronematidae. The record is from RNAcentral.
GUAUUAAUUCUAACACAGGUAUUCUAGUUGAAUAAAUGAAAGCAAAAAGAUUAAUAAUAUUGAAGGAACUCGGCAAAUUAACUUUGUAACUUCGGGAUAAAAAGGACUAAAUGUAUUUAAAAAGAAGGGGUGGCGACUGUUUAUUAAAAACAUAAGAUUUUGCUAAAUUUUAUAAAAUGAUGUAUAAGAUCUGACACCUGCCCAAUGCUGCAAGAUGAAAUAAAAUAGUUAUGCUGUUUUUAUAAAUCCCAGUGAAUGGCGGCCGUAACCCUGACGGUCCUAAGGUAGCGAAAUUCCUUGACGGGUAAGUUCCGUCCUGCAUGAAUGGUGUAACGACUGCCCCGCUGUCUCCAAUAUUAUUCUUACGAAAUUGAAUUAGUUGUGAAGAUGCAAUUAUUUUAUAGUUAGACGGGAAGACCCUAUGCACCUUUACUAUAACCUGUAUUUAAAUUUUGAUUUUUUUAGCCUAGUAAUGUAGG